This 380-nucleotide ribosomal RNA is filed under the name Spiricoelotes anshiensis. RNAcentral's name for it is "partial 16S ribosomal RNA". The record is from RNAcentral. Lineage: Eukaryota; Metazoa; Arthropoda; Arachnida; Araneae; Agelenidae.
CUCAAUGAAUAUAAAUAGCCGCAACGUCCUUGUGCUAAGGUAGCAUAAUCAUUUGUUUUUUAAUUAAAAACCAGAACGAAAGAUUUAACAUUUUUAUUUCUCUCUUAUAUAUAAUAAUUAAAUUUAUUUUAAAUAUAAAAAAAUAUUUAUUAAUAAAAAAGACGAUAAGACCCUAUUAAACUUUACUAAAGUUAAACUGGGGUAGUUAAUUAAAUAUUAUUUUAAUUUAAAUUUUAAACAAACCUAAUAAAAUUAAAAACAUCAAGUUACUAUAGGGAUAACAGCGCAAUAAAUUUCUUAAGCUCUCAUUUAAAAAUUCAUUUGCGACCUCGAUGUUGAAUUAAUAAUCUAUUAAAUGCAAUAAUUUAAUAAAGAAAGUC